GAUGAACGCUGGCGGCGUGCUUAACACAUGCAAGUCGAACGAUGAAGCCCAGCUUGCUGGGUGGAUUAGUGGCGAACGGGUGAGUAACACGUGAGUAACCUGCCCUUAACUCUGGGAUAAGCCUGGGAAACUGGGUCUAAUACCGGAUAGGAGCGUCCACCGCCUGGUGGGAGUUGGAAAGAUUUAUCGGUUUUGGAUGGACUCGCGGCCUAUCAGCUUGUUGGUGGGGUAAUGGCUCACCAAGGCGACGACGGGUAGCCGGCCUGAGAGGGUGACCGGCCACACUGGGACUGAGACACGGCCCAGACUCCUACGGGAGGCAGCAGUGGGGAAUAUUGCACAAUGGGCGAAAGCCUGAUGCAGCGACGCCGCGUGAGGGAUGACGGCCUUCGGGUUGUAAACCUCUUUCAGUAGGGAAGAAGCGAAAGUGACGGUACCUGCAGAAGAAGCACCGGCUAACUACGUG
Molecule: ribosomal RNA, 466 nt
Filed under: uncultured bacterium
Lineage: Bacteria
Description: partial 16S ribosomal RNA
Rfam family: Bacterial small subunit ribosomal RNA
Source: RNAcentral